This 499-nucleotide ribosomal RNA is filed under the name Pseudomonas aeruginosa. RNAcentral's name for it is "bacterial SSU rRNA". It matches the Rfam family "Bacterial small subunit ribosomal RNA", at positions 33 to 525 of the family's 1533-position model. The record is from RNAcentral. Lineage: Bacteria; Pseudomonadati; Pseudomonadota; Gammaproteobacteria; Pseudomonadales; Pseudomonadaceae.
UGACGCUGGCGGCAGGCCUAGACAUGCAAGUCGAGCGGAUGAAGGGAGCUUGCUCCUGGAUUCAGCGGCGGACGGGUGAGUAAUGCCUAGGAAUCUGCCUGGUAGUGGGGGAUAACGUCCGGAAACGGGCGCUAAUACCGCAUACGUCCUGAGGGAGAAAGUGGGGGAUCUUCGGACCUCACGCUAUCAGAUGAGCCUAGGUCGGAUUAGCUAGUUGGUGGGGUAAAGGCCUACCAAGGCGACGAUCCGUAACUGGUCUGAGAGGAUGAUCAGUCACACUGGAACUGAGACACGGUCCAGACUCCUACGGGAGGCAGCAGUGGGGAAUAUUGGACAAUGGGCGAAAGCCUGAUCCAUCUAUGCCGCGUGUGUGAAGAAGGUCUUCGGAUUGUAAAGCACUUUAAGUUGGGAGGAAGGGCAGUAAGUUAAUACCUUGCUGUUUUGACGUUACCAACAGAAUAAGCACCGGCUAACUUCGUGCCAGCCGGCCGCGGUAAAA